This 72-nucleotide transfer RNA is filed under the name Nostoc punctiforme FACHB-252. Its description in RNAcentral is "tRNA-Cys". It matches the Rfam family "tRNA". Rfam says of the family: Transfer RNA (tRNA) molecules are approximately 80 nucleotides in length. Their secondary structure includes four short double-helical elements and three loops (D, anti-codon, and T loops). Further hydrogen bonds mediate the characteristic L-shaped molecular structure. tRNAs have two regions of fundamental functional importance: the anti-codon, which is responsible for specific mRNA codon recognition, and the 3' end, to which the tRNAs corresponding amino acid is attached (by aminoacyl-tRNA synthetases). tRNAs cope with the degeneracy of the genetic code in two manners: having more than one tRNA (with a specific anti-codon) for a particular amino acid; and 'wobble' base-pairing, i.e. permitting non-standard base-pairing at the 3rd anti-codon position. The record is from RNAcentral. RNAcentral also lists the same sequence under 16 other names. Lineage: Bacteria; Bacillati; Cyanobacteriota; Cyanophyceae; Nostocales; Nostocaceae.
GGCGGCAUAGCCAAGUGGUAAGGCAGAGGUCUGCAAAACCUCCAUCCAGCGGUUCAAAUCCGCUUGCCGCCU